This 763-nucleotide ribosomal RNA is filed under the name uncultured Streptococcus sp. RNAcentral describes it as "bacterial SSU rRNA". It matches the Rfam family "Bacterial small subunit ribosomal RNA", at positions 28 to 776 of the family's 1533-position model. Lineage: Bacteria; Bacillati; Bacillota; Bacilli; Lactobacillales; Streptococcaceae. The record is from RNAcentral.
GACGAACGCUGGCGGCGUGCCUAAUACAUGCAAGUAGAACGCUGAAGGAGGAGCUUGCUUCUCCGGAUGAGUUGCGAACGGGUGAGUAACGCGUAGGUAACCUGCCUGGUAGCGGGGGAUAACUAUUGGAAACGAUAGCUAAUACCGCAUAACAGUAGAUAUUGCAUGAUAUCUGCUUGAAAGGUGCAAAUGCAUCACUACCAGAUGGACCUGCGUUGUAUUAGCUAGUUGGUGGGGUAACGGCUCACCAAGGCGACGAUACAUAGCCGACCUGAGAGGGUGAUCGGCCACACUGGGACUGAGACACGGCCCAGACUCCUACGGGAGGCAGCAGUAGGGAAUCUUCGGCAAUGGACGGAAGUCUGACCGAGCAACGCCGCGUGAGUGAAGAAGGUUUUCGGAUCGUAAAGCUCUGUUGUAAGAGAAGAACGAGUGUGAGAGUGGAAAGUUCACACUGUGACGGUAUCUUACCAGAAAGGGACGGCUAACUACGUGCCAGCAGCCGCGGUAAUACGUAGGUCCCGAGCGUUGUCCGGAUUUAUUGGGCGUAAAGCGAGCGCAGGCGGUUAGAUAAGUCUGAAGUUAAAGGCUGUGGCUUAACCAUAGUACGCUUUGGAAACUGUUUAACUUGAGUGCAAGAGGGGAGAGUGGAAUUCCAUGUGUAGCGGUGAAAUGCGUAGAUAUAUGGAGGAACACCGGUGGCGAAAGCGGCUCUCUGGCUUGUAACUGACGCUGAGGCUCGAAAGCGUGGGGAGCAAACAGG